UAGGUGGCGAGCGUUAUCCGGAUUUAUUGGGCGUAAAGCGUGCGCAGACGGCUUGUUAAGUCUAAAAUUAAAGCCCGGAGCUUAACUCCGGUUCGUUUUAGAAACUAGCAGGCUUGAGUGUAGUAGAGGCAAAUGGAAUUUCUAGUGUAGCGGUAAAAUGCGUAGAUAUUAGAAGGAACACCAGUGGCGAAGGCGAUUUGCUGGGCUAUUACUGACGUUCAUGCACGAAAGCGUGGGGAGCAAA
This 244-nucleotide ribosomal RNA is filed under the name uncultured bacterium. RNAcentral's name for it is "partial 16S ribosomal RNA". It matches the Rfam family "Bacterial small subunit ribosomal RNA", at positions 528 to 772 of the family's 1533-position model. The record is from RNAcentral.